GAAAAAUAUGUUUGAGGCAAUGGACAAGAACAAGGCAGCGUUUGGUCUAUAAAUCUGCUUCCAUCGAGUGAUUGGCAGAGAAGAAGAGGUCGAGAAUUUAGCAGAGGAGAUGAGCAUGUCGAAGAACAAGAUCGUGGGCAAUGACGGCUCUAGCAUGGUCCAAAAUCGAUGGGUACUGGAGCGAUCUUCGAUAUGUGGUAAUACGAUGGUUGGCGACCGAGGAGGGGCGCCUGAUGUUGGGUGGUGAUAUUUUGUUAAACAAGAGUCCCAUGUCCAUUAGAGGUACUUUGUAAUCUGUCAAUAGAUUUGAUAAAUGUAAUCUUCUGUAUUUGAUAUAGAUGGGAACUCUGAAUCCCAGUAGGAC
This 364-nucleotide long non-coding RNA is filed under the name Malus domestica (apple). Its description in RNAcentral is "long non-coding RNA (MDOM_LNC003404)". Lineage: Eukaryota; Viridiplantae; Streptophyta; Magnoliopsida; Rosales; Rosaceae. The record is from RNAcentral.